AAUUUAGAAGUAGGAUAACAAGAGUUUUUGUCGAUAGAUAGACAUUUAUUUAGAAUAUUUGAUCAAUAGGUUCGUUUUGAAAAUUAGUUUUCAAAAAACUGCUAUUUUGGCAAAGUUACCAUUUUUGUAGACAAAUAUUGUAGAUUUGGUAUUUUGAUUUAGAAAUUAGGAUUACAAGUGUUUUUGUUGAUAGAUGAGCAUUCUUUUAGAAUAUUUGAUCAAUAGGUUCUUUUUAAAAAUAAUUUUUUUUUAAAACUGCUAUUUAUGGAAAGUUAUCAUUUUUGUAGACAAAUAUUGUAGAUUUGGUAUUUUGAUUUAGAAAUUAGGAUUACAAGUGUUUUUUUAAUAUAUGAGCAUUUUUUAAAAAAAAUUUAUCAUUAGAAUGUAUUUUUUAAAUAAAUUUUCUAAAAACUGCUAUUUUGGAAAAAUUAUCAUUUUUGUAAAGAAAUAUUGAAGAUUU
This 460-nucleotide long non-coding RNA is filed under the name Brassica napus (rape). RNAcentral describes it as "long non-coding RNA (BNAP_LNC007768)". Lineage: Eukaryota; Viridiplantae; Streptophyta; Magnoliopsida; Brassicales; Brassicaceae. The record is from RNAcentral.